Molecule: ribosomal RNA, 303 nt
Filed under: uncultured bacterium
Lineage: Bacteria
Description: partial 16S ribosomal RNA
Rfam family: Bacterial small subunit ribosomal RNA
Source: RNAcentral
AGCAGUCGCCGCGGUAAUACAGAGGGUGCGAGCGUUAAUCGGAUUUACUGGGCGUAAAGCGUGCGUAGGCGGCUUCUUAAGUUGGAUGUGAAAUCCCUGAGCUUAACUUAGGAAUUGCAUUCGAUACUGGGAAGCUAGAGUAUGGGAGAGGAUGGUAGAAUUCCAGGUGUAGCGGUGAAAUGCGUAGAGAUCUGGAGGAAUACCGAUGGCGAAGGCAGCCAUCUGGCCUAAUACUGACGCUGAGGUACGAAAGCAUGGGGAGCAAACAGGAUUAGAGACCCCCGUAGUCCCUGUCUCUUAUAC